This 490-nucleotide ribosomal RNA is filed under the name Salmonella enterica. RNAcentral's name for it is "bacterial SSU rRNA". It matches the Rfam family "Bacterial small subunit ribosomal RNA", at positions 1 to 480 of the family's 1533-position model. Lineage: Bacteria; Pseudomonadati; Pseudomonadota; Gammaproteobacteria; Enterobacterales; Enterobacteriaceae. The record is from RNAcentral.
AAAUUGAAGAGUUUGAUCAUGGCUCAGAUUGAACGCUGGCGGCAGGCCUAACACAUGCAAGUCGAACGGUAACAGGAAGCAGCUUGCUGCUUCGCUGACGAGUGGCGGACGGGUGAGUAAUUUCUGGGAAACUGCCUGAUGGAGGGGGAUAACUACUGGAAACGGUGGCUAAUACCGCAUAACGUCGCAAGACCAAAGAGGGGGACCUUCGGGCCUCUUGCCAUCAGAUGUGCCCAGAUGGGAUUAGCUAGUUGGUGAGGUAACGGCUCACCAAGGCGACGAUCCCUAGCUGGUCUGAGAGGAUGACCAGCCACACUGGAACUGAGACACGGUCCAGACUCCUACGGGAGGCAGCAGUGGGGAAUAUUGCACAAUGGGCGCAAGCCUGAUGCAGCCAUGCCGCGUGUAUGAAGAAGGCCUUCGGGUUGUAAAGUACUUUCAGCGGGGAGGAAGGUGUUGUGGUUAAUAACCGCAGCAAUUGACGUUACCC